This is a long non-coding RNA of Podarcis raffonei (Aeolian wall lizard), 1042 nucleotides long. RefSeq lists it as uncharacterized. The record is from RefSeq and is a predicted model, not a curated record. The transcript has 2 exons. Lineage: Eukaryota; Metazoa; Chordata; Lepidosauria; Squamata; Lacertidae.
UGUUUGUUUUUAAUACCUACACACUUCUCCCUGAAGCUGUUUUCUAUAUGCAGAGAUCUAGAUUCAUUGCAGGAAGAAGUCUCUCCACUUUGUAGUUACUGCAAGGCAAGCAACAAGCAAAUUCCACACUAGCAUUGAAGAUUCUGUAUGUCACUUUAGAGGGUGUGAGAAAAGAAUCCUUUCUUCAGAAGCCAACAACAGAAUUAGAGAAGACCAAGUCAUGCCCUGCUGGUGAUUGGCUUAGUCCAAGAAAAUUUCAGCUUUGAACAACAUUUCACAAACAAUUGUGUUUCACCAUGCUAUAAAUUAUUAAAGUUAAAAACAACCACCAGGUACAAUUUACAAAUACGAAUCAGAGUAGGGCUAUUUAGUUUCUCUCUACUGCCUUCAAUAUUGUUAUUAACCCCCCUUUACUGCAGAAAGCUAACACAGUGUUACAAACAAGAAAUGUCUGAGUUGAAACAGCCAGCAGAACUUGUUGCUGCAUGCAAAACCAAGCCAGCAUAGAAAGGAAAUGCUUAUUAAACCACAAGCCAAGGUAUAAAAUACUUGUAGGGAGGACUGACGUUAGUUUUGCCACGUGUUUCUUUUUUAGAUGCUCUGUAUUCCUCUGUUAUGUAUUAAAAGAACAAGCCAGUAAUGUAUAUGCAGAUCUCUCAAAGGUUGGGAUGUAACUAAGCUGUUUUUUAAAUGUUAUCUCAGUAAUGCAUUCUUGCUUAGGAAUAUAUGGGGUCCCCCCCCGGACAAGAGAGGCUGUAAUUCUAUAUUGAUUUGAGUGGAAGAUCCAUUGAAUACUGUGGGAUUUGCUGCUUUGUAACCUGGCAUGGGAUUGUGCUGUAGCUUUUAUAAACUCCCACAUUCUUUUUAACUUUCCAGCACAAGCUCCCUGUGCCUGAAAUACUAUAUUUUGUAAAGAUGUGCUGCCAGUGAUUUUGUAGAAAAAAUCUUUACAGAAGUGAAGCUUUCUAGGUGAAAGCUAUUCAUCCAAUGUGAGCUUCCCAUGCAUGGCAGACAUCCUACCUAUUAAAGAGAGAGCACAGUU